AUUGAACGCUGGCGGCAGGCUUAACACAUGCAAGUCGAGCGGGGUGAUGGUGCUUGCACUAUCACUUAGCGGCGGACGGGGGAGUAAUGCUUAGGCAUAUGCCUAUUAGUUGGGGACAACAUAUCGCAAGGGAUGCUAAUACCGCAUACGUCAUACGGGAUAAAGCAGGGGAUCACUGGUGACGUUGCGCUAAUAGAUGAGCCUAAGUCGGACUAGCUAGUUGGUGGGGUAAAGGCCUACCAAGGCGACGAUCUGUAGCGGGUCUGAGAGGAUGAACCGGCACACGGGGACUGAGACACGGCCCAGACUCCUGCGGUAGGCAGCAGUGGGGAAUAUUGGACAAUGGGGGGAACCCUGAUCCAGCCAUGCCGCGUGUGUGAAGAAGGCCUUAUGGUUGUAAAGCACUUUAGGCGAGGAGGAGGCUCUUUUGGUUAAUACCCAAGAUGAGUGGACGUUACUCGCAGAAUAAGCACCGGCUAACUCUGUGCCAGCAGCCGCAGUAA
Molecule: ribosomal RNA, 503 nt
Filed under: uncultured bacterium
Lineage: Bacteria
Description: partial 16S ribosomal RNA
Rfam family: Bacterial small subunit ribosomal RNA
Source: RNAcentral